RNAcentral lists this long non-coding RNA (26509 nucleotides) under Brassica rapa (field mustard). RNAcentral's name for it is "long non-coding RNA (BRAP_LNC004870)". The record is from RNAcentral. Lineage: Eukaryota; Viridiplantae; Streptophyta; Magnoliopsida; Brassicales; Brassicaceae.
UUGCGUGCUUUCUUCACCUUCUCCGAUGCUACUUGCGCCUGGCUAGGUCCACCAGUUUCAACCUUAGAAGGCACUGUGAUGGCAUCGGGGUUGUCAUCUCCAUUGUAAACGUCGCCUCCCUAUUUGAUAAAAAAAGUCAUAUAUAUCUUUAUACCGAACAGCCACGUAUCUGGAAAAACCUUACAUUCUUUAAACCUUACAUUCCAUAAACCUUAGAUUAUCAACAAAUGCAGGCUGCAGCACACGGUCACGCUCACUGAGGAUGCGCGAGACAGUAAAGGUCUGAUGAUUUGCUGUGAAUUUAAGUGCACUCACCCUCACCUGGAAUGUGUAGGUCUUACCAACCAUGUCUCACACAAAUGGUGGGGCCUGUGUUUCCUCUGGGUUGACACCAUCACCAGCCUGAGCAAAGAGUGGUUCAAUGGAAACUGUAUGAAUAAGUAGCCAGUAAAAAAAUAUGAAUUACAGUUGAUAAAGUACAUACCAAAAGAUGGUCAGCUUCAAAGGCCCUCAUGUUGUGAUGUUUGGUCAUUACCUGAUCGAAACAGACAAACAAAGCUUUACCAGUUUCAUCUGCAACGGACAUCUCCACACCGUACCUAGCGGACAGAGAACAUACAUCAAAUCCUAAAGGUGAGUUUGCGCUAGGUCAGAAAUUUAAUGUUACUGAAUAAGUUGCCGGAAAUUAGCACAUACCGGAGGAAACCAACUGCACUGGUAUGUUGCAAGGAAGACAUGUGAAAGAUGAUACUGUGCACUAAAGUUGCUUGGCCCAGUUUGAGCAGGAAACAUUGCACCAUCCCUUCUCCACCUUUAUUUCAGUUACUCUUCUGGUACAGAUAAACACCUUCAGCUUCACCACCAAAACCCGACCAAAGACAUGAUGGCUUUACCACAUCAGUCUCAAUGAUCUGAUCCAACGUUUUUGGAGUUUCACAGCAGAGUAAACCCCAGUCGAAACGUCUCAGCUUCUCGUCAAUCAGGUCUUCUCUAAAGGAAGAAGAUGGUAGAUUGAUGAUAACUCUAAAAAAAGGCCAAAACUUGAUGAUGUCUUGACGGCAAAUCUCUUAGAGAAUCUCGUCCGUGUGAUCAAGAACCAGAAGAAGCUUCGUGUGAGAAUUCGUCGAGUAGUGAUGUUUCUUUGAUGCAUCUUGCCAUGAGAUUAGUCCAGUUCAGUCUUAAAACUUCAAGAACUUUCUUCACAAACUUGUGAACUGAGUCCUUUUCUAGAAGAUUCAUGCCUGAAUCAUCAAAACCUAGCAAUCUAGGCCCUGUUCUUUUCAGAGACGCUGCGUCAGCGACUUGCAAUCAAAAAUAUAAGUAACUUCUUGUCCAAGUAUGUGGAGACUACCACGGACAGCGGUACUUUUGACGCCCAGAAGCAGUUGCUUCACCAUUUUAAGUGACGCUACUUUACACAGCUGUCAGAAUAGCCACCCGAAAUCCUUAUAAAAGUUGAUCGCAGCUUCGAUGACUAAUUUUUGAUCGCCGGAAGUGAUCGCAGCGUCACUGUACCGAACAGGGCCCUAAUCUUCUCUUCUACUGUUUCUUCUUCUAGACGUAUCCUCUCUAGAAAAUAGACAGGACUUGGUUGCUCCUGCUCUUGUUUCAGGUCUUGAAUGUUUCUGUCUCGUCUUUCUAGAUCCGAACUUGAUUCCUGGAACAAUUUAGAGCAUAAGUUAAACAUCAAAUCUGUUGUAGAGUCAUAAGAAAUGUCUUCUCCUGUUCUCAGAGCUUACCGCUGAUGAGCUCUCAAGAUAUCUUAGACUUGUGUACUCAGCAGAACCUGUACAAUUGUGGUUGAGAGACCUUACAAUGGAGUUGUGAGGAUUCGGAUCAGAAACCUCCUAGUCCUUGUCCACGGAGCACAACUUGAACCUCUCUCUUCUCUCUUUGAGUUUUAUUUGCCGGCUGCUCAACUCAUUAGGACCUUCAUACACCGGUAUUAUCACAUUGUGAAAGAAGUUAUCAAACAUCAAAAGCUGGGAAAUGGCUCAGCCAUAAAUCUAAAUAAACUAAUAGUCAGAAAGGGAGAAUUUUCACAGCCUUAAAAAUACGAACAUUGUGAAUAGAAGAUAUCACACAUUAAAAGCUGGGGGAUGGCUCGACCAUAAAUCUACGACAGGAACUUCAAAACACAAUGAAUAAUGAUAAUCUGGAAUCAAGACGGUGGCGAUGUAUAUAGAAUAUAACCGGAGAUCUAAUUAAAACUAUAAACAAAAAUAUCAGUAAAAUAGAUUACUUGAGGAUCAAGAAGGAACAUAUCGACUCACAUAAGCUCUCCACCACGCCGGACGUUCCUGGCCUCCCAAAAUCGGAGCAGGCGAACUUGAACGGAGGAGGAAGAGUGGCCAGUCUGUAGAUCGGAGAGGAUAACCAAAUCGUUAGCCAUGACUCAAACCUUUUGUAUAAUGAUUAGUUUAGAACGAAGGAUGAUUUUGAAAGCAUGAAUUCAUAUCUUUUUAUAGUAGACUUCCACCGCCUUGCACUCUCCAGGGUCGCAUCGAAUGGAGAUCGUGUGUGAGUGAUUAAGGAGGGCUUUAUGAGGGGAUCAGUUAAUAAGGAAAAUGGCCAAAAAAAUGUUUUAUUAAAGUGUAAAUAUACAUUUAUACCCUAGGAUUAACUAAUCUAGAAUUAGAGUUAAAGUUAAAUGAUGGGGUUUUGAUGAUGGAGUUCAAAUUUUUUUUAAAAAAAUAAAACUUUCAAAAUAAAAAGAACAAUUUUGGUUAAUUUUUUCUUUGAUGACUAUUUUUGCGACAAAAACUAAAAGAAACUAUUGAAAGAUUGCCCUAUAAUAUAUCUUAGUGUUUUAACGUGAAUCCUAUGCUCUUUUAUUUUUUUACAAAGAACGUGAGUCUUAUGUAUUGCACAUUGGCACACCUUAUUCAUGUUUACGUACAUGUGUUAUUACACAAUUUUAUAUGAACACUACAAGAAAACACAAGUUUUACGAGGGCAGUUUUCCUCGUUACUUCGUCGUAAAAGCAGUGUUACGACGAAUUAGCGAGGAAACGCGUUUCGUCGUUAUACGUUUGUCGUAACGCAUAUAUCCUCGCUAAUUCGUCGUAAGUUAGCGAGGAAAUAAUUUCGUCGUAAAAGCGAAGGAGGAUAUUUCGUCGUAAAGACCACGUAAAGAUUCCACGUAAGGACGUCGCUAAGUUUCCUCGUAAAUACCACGAAAAGCUUUCCUCGUAAAACCCACGUAAAUAAAUACUCGUAAAAUUAACGUAAAUACCUUGAGAGCUUUCCACGUAAAGAAAACGUAAAAACCUUGAUAGAUUUCCACGUUAUUUCCAUGUAAAUGUUUCCUCGUAAAAACCACGUUAAGCUUCCACGUAAAGAAGCCGCAAAAUUAGCUACGAAUUUACUUCGUUUCAUUAUUUUAUAGAAAUAUAAAAAAUUAUAAUUAUAAAUAUAAUUAUAAAUAUAAUUUAAAUUAUUAAUAAAAUUAAAAUUCUAAAAAAAUCAAAACCAAAAUAUUUUAUAUAGAAAUAAGUUUUGAAUUCAUAAUACAAUAACCGAAAUUAAAAAGAACUAAGGGUGGUCGUUAAUUAAUCGCCUCGUAGAAUUCAUCACUCCUCGCCUGAACAUCCGCCUCGGCAUGUGAGUCGUCGGUCGGUGACUGGCCUGGGAUAGGAUUUUGUUGUCGCAUGGUCCUCAACAAAGUCGCCCAUUCCGGAUUUGUGGCCGCUACAACGUCCAAGAAGCCCUCGAGUCCACCCAUACGAGAUCGGAGCUGAGUAGACUCUAUACGCAGCUGAGUAGACUCUCUACGCAGCUCUUCGGACUCCCUACGCAGCUGAGAGACUUCCUCAUCCCGUCGCUGAACAUAAGACGAUGUCGCUCUCGGAACAUCGUUGACGGAACCAAUCCCCAACGUCCGUCCCUUUUUUUUAGGGACAACCUUAAAAACAAAAAAUAAAUUUUGUUAGUAAAAAUUUAAAGUUAAAUUAAAUGAAUAUUUAAAAAAAUUAAAAUUUUAGAAAAUUUACCUCCUCGUAAAGCUUAUCCACUUCAGGUGUGGAUAAGGUGACGGGUAAUCCAUCGGUGGACUGUUGGGUCAGCUGGGUCUGGCGUUCUUCAACCCGAGCAGCCAAAUCGUUGUAGAUUUGCUCGGACUUGCCAUCUAUAAAUCGGCCCGCCUUGUUCUUGUGGGUCCUCUCGUAAAGUUGCAUAAGAGACGGGAAUUCUCCCGUCUCUUUGGCCUAAAAAAACAUUUAAGAAAGUUGUUAAUUAGAAUAUAUAUAAAAAUAUACUAAAAAUUUAAUAUAAUUAAAUUUUUAAUUACCAUUUCCAAACGGACACCGGCGUGGGGUUUUUGGCCCGUAGUGUGAAGCAUCGGCCCGUUCCCGUGCUCAUCGACUGUGUUACGGGAGUUAGAGCAAGACUGGGCGAUUCUAAUGGAAUCAGGAAGACGCCAAUAUCGGAUGAGGCCAUCCCAGACAUCCGUGGUGAGCUCAGCGGGUUUGCCACGCUCAUACCCCUUCACGAUCCAGUCACCCUUCCAGUUGGAGACCGUGUCCAACAAGCGAACUUUCGCCUUCGCUUCAAACUUCUUUCUCACCCUCUCAGUGAUCCCCAAGGCCCAAUUAUAUUUUUGCUGUUGGAAAAAAUAAUUUAUAAUUAGUUUUUUAGAAAAAAAUAUAUAUAUAAAUAAUAAAAAAUUUAAAGAUAUAUAUUUAAUUAAUAGAACUUACAGCGUAAAUUUUGAACCACGUCUUUCUGACGUAGUGGGGCGUCAUUUUCCAGUUCGGAUGUGCCAUGGAGAAGUAACCUUUUAUCGUAUCGGUUACGUCCGAUGCAAGACAUCCGUCAAUCCCCCACCUGAAAAAUACAAAUUUAAAAUAUAAAUUAUUUUUUAAAGUUAUAAAAGAAUUUAAAAAGAAUAAAAAAAUAAUGAAACAUACCAUAAAGUUCCGUCCGGUCGGUCGGGGUCGAUGACUGGUAAACCUUCUCUGCCUGGCAGACGGAGAAUGUCCUCUACGGUGUACUGCGAGUAAGGAGCACUCGGAGGCACCAUCAAAUCGGGAUGAAUCUCGCCCGCGGGCAUCGGAGGUGCCGGCAUCGUAGGAGGCACAGGAGGAGGAGGAGGCAUCUGGGGAGGCACGUGAAGAACCGAUGGUGCACUAGAAGAAGGAGAUCCAAUGACUCUCUGAGUGUACUGAGUCUCGGGGACAGUCUCCUGACCCGAAGAACCGGGAGCUGAAGAAGACGACGGGUCUAAACGACUACCCGGCUCACCAAACAUCUCUCUGUAAUGGGCAGUAAGUCUACCUUUUCGAACCUGAGAAAAAAAUUUAAUUUUUUAAAUUUUCGUGAACAUAUACUUCCCAACAUUAUCCACCUAAUCAACACUAAAUAACAUAAGAUCCGUAAACCUAUCUAAAUUCCCUAUACUAACCACCUAAUCUAUCCUAAACUAAUCAAACUAGAGAGGAAUUAGAGAGACUUACCAUUGCUACGAAUUAGGGAGGAAGUGGAGAGGAAGUAGAGAGGAAAGACGGAGCGAGCUCGCUCGGGAUAUAUAUAAGAUUACUUGUCCUCGUAAAUUCCUCGUAAACUUACGAGGAAUUACAGAGGCCCGCGUUUUCAGUUACGACGAAAUAGCGACGAAAUACAAAGGCCCGCGUUUUCGUUAACGACGUUUUUACGACGAAAAGGGUUACGUGGAAUUAACGAGUUAACCAGUUACGAGGAAUUAGCGAGCCUUUAUUUUCUAUAAAUACCCACAACUUUCCUUCUCAAACCACACACACAAACUCACAAAACACACCCUAUCUCAAAUCACACUCCUCACCAAAAUACUUUUCAAAUUAGAAAUAUUUGAAAAAAAAAGAAGAAAAGAAGAUAUUAGAAUUUAUGUGGGUGAGACUUAAGUCUCGCCACAUAUAAUUCCAGUAUCUUUCUUUUUUUCUUUUUUUCUAGUUUUUAUACUAUGAGGAAGUAGCAAGUCCCGCUUUUCACCAAUUUAGAAAAUUUGGAAAAAAAAAGAAGAGAAGAAGAUAUUUGGAACUCAUGUGGUCGAGACUUACGUAAGUCUCGCCAAAUGUGAUUCAAGCAUCUUUCUUCUCUUCUUUUUUUUAGUAUUUUUAAUAUUUUCGUCGUAAUAUCGUCGUUAGUUUACGACUCUUUUACGACGAUUUUGGCUUACGUGGAAUUAGCGUGCCCCGCUUUUUUAAUUUCGUCGUAAAGUCCUCGUGGCCUUACGAGGUGUUUACGACGAAAUCAUCCUACGUGGAAUUAAAGAGUGCCUUCUUCGUCAUUUACUUUACGUGGUAUUUACGUCAAUUUACCUUACGAGGUGUUUACGACGAUUCUUUCCUACGUGGAAUAAACGAGUUCCUCCUUCGUCAUUUACUUUACGUGGCAUUUACGUCAAUUUACAUUACGAGGUCUUUACGACGAUUCUGUCCUACGUGGAAUAAACGAGGAUUACGUCGUACAUUCGACGUCAGGUUACGAGGAAUUAACGAGCAGUACUUUAAUUCCCUAAAAUCCGAAACCCCAAACCCCAAAACCCAUAUUCCUUAUCUUCUACUUCAUAUAUUCCAAACCCCAUCUUUAUUUUCAUUCCAAACCACAAUUCCCACAUUUACUUAUUUAUAAAACAAACUCCCACAAUUUCUUAUUCAUAAAACAAACUCCCACAUUACCUUAUUCAUAAAACAAACUCUCACAUUACCUUAUUCAUAAAACAAACUACACAAAAUCAAAUACAUCAAUCGGAUACAUCGACAUUCUCGUCAUCACUAGAAAUAUCAUCAUUUUCAUUAAACUCGUCUUCUACAGCUUCGUCUGUGGCAUCAUCGGUAAGAUCUUCGUAUUCGUGAUUAUGCGGAUCAAUGAGAAGGAUGUCAUCAACUUCUUGUUCAGGUUCCUCGACUUCAUUUAUCUGUUCUUCUUGCAAUGGUGGUUCUUCUCCACUGAUGAUUCGUCCUCGAGGUGUAACUUUGAUCACUGCUAACCAAUUUAUACCCGAAUCUCUCAUCCGAGGGUAUGGAAGGAAGCUAACUUGGUCUGCUUGUGAAGCUAAGAUGAAAGGCUCGAAUUUGUUGUACCGACGUCCACCGUUGACAUCAACUACACCAAAUUUGUUAGACCGAACACCUCUGUUGACGACGGGGUCGAACCAUUCACAUUUGAAGAUGACGCAUUUCAGCUUCAGUAUCCCUGGAAAUUCGACUUCAAUAAUCUCCGUCAAGAUCCCGUAGAAAUCUGUUUCCCCUUUCACACAUAUUCCAUAGUUACUGGUCGCCCGCUGUCUACCAUACUCAUAUGUGUGAAAAGUGUAGCCUCGUGUGAAAUACAUCUGUGAUGUGGUGACCUUUACAAGUGGAGAUUGAAUUACUUCGUGUAACCACUUAGGAUAAUCUGCAUCGUCGUCAUAAUCAACCUGCAAAAAUAAAGAGAACAUUAAAAUACAAAUCAUGUAUGAAAAAAUAGUUUGAGUUAUAAUACCUGAUUCCGCAACCACUUAAUGAAGUGCUGAUCUUUCCUUUUGUCUACGUCACUUGUGGAUAUACCAGGAAAUGUUUCUUCGACUUGAGAAACAAAUAGGCUGUAAAAUUAAUCACAUUUCAUAGGAAUGAAUCUCUUGCAAUUAUAUAAUUAAUUAUAUGUGUUUUGAAGUGUCCAUAUAUGUUACCUUUCAAAAUAACGCAUCAAUGGAUCCUCGCAAUUGAGUAGAAUAUAGGUGUGUGCACUAUGAGCGUCUUGUUCACUCGACCACCAAACCUCUUUAGACUUCCCACCGAGCCGUCCAAUCUGGCUAAAGAUGUCUGGAACACCAGCAACUGCAUAUGUUGGCGCAACUCCACCAUCAUCAUAUCUUCUUGGAGCUCUUCUACGGGUACGUACUUUUGACGCAAAGUAGUACGAUGUGAAGUGAGAAACUUCUUCCGUCAAACUUCCAGCAAUUAUAGAACCUUCAACUUUGGCGAGGUUCUUUGCUUUUCCCUUCAAAUAUUUCAUGGCUCGCUCAUACUGAUACAUCCAUCCGUAAUGUACAGGUCCACGAAGCAAUGCUUCAUAUGGGAGGUGGACAGCUAGAUGCUCCAUGACGUCAAAAAAUCCAGGAGGAAAUAUCUUCUCCAAGUUGCACAAUAAGAUGGGAAUGUUCUCCUGAAGCUGUUCUACAACUUCUUCUUUAAGAGUGCGUGUGCUCAGAUCCCUGAAAAAUGCUCCAAUGCCUUUUAUAUUCCAAAAACAAUUAAACACAUUGUUAGUCGUAUAUUAUUUUGCAAACUAGACCGUUAUAAAAUUAUUGUGAUAUAAAACACUACGAACCUGCAAGUGCUUCAUGUACGUUUGUUGGAAGUAGCUCCGCAAAUGCAAAGGGCAGUAGUCGUUGCAUAAAGACAUGACAAUCAUGACUCUUCAUCCCAGAGAACUUUUGACCCUUUUCAACACAUCUAGAGAGAUUUGAAACAUACCCAUCGGGGAACUUCACUUCUGAUGCCACCCAGUUGAACAACACCGACUUUUUUUCUGAAGACAGUCUGAAUAUCGGAACAGGAACUUGUCCAUUGCUUUUAAUAUGUAACUCGCUUCUUGAGCAAAUAUCCGGCAAGUCCAACCUCGAUUUUAUGUUGUCUUUUGUCUUCCCUGGGACAUUCAAUAUUGUAUUCAUGAUGUUCUCAAAGAAAUUCUUCUCUAUAUGCAUCACAUCGAGGUUGUGGCGCAGAAGAAGAUCCUUCCAAUAUGGCAACUCCCAAAAUAUACUCUUCUUGUGCCAGUUGUGAUGAACACCGUAAGAAUCAGGCAUAUUACGAGGGACAUGCCAAUUACCACCCCAACGAACUGUUUCGUUAGCUCCGUAGUAGUCGAUUUGUGCUUCAAUUUGUUCUCCAGUUAGAUAUGGUGGAGAAGUGUCUCUCACAACCCUUUUGUGCCUAAACAAAUUCUUGUUUCUUCGGUAAGGAUGGCCAAUGGGAAGAAAUCGACGAUGACAAUCAAACCAACUUGUCUUCCUACCAUUCUUCAGUUGAAACGCAUCUGUCGUUCCAUUACAAUAUGGACAAGCUAAUCUCCCAUGUGUAGUCCAUCCAGACAACAUCCCAUAUGCAGGAAAGUCACUUAUGGUCCACAAAAGCAUAGCUCGCAUCGUAAAAUUCGUCUUCGUUGAACAGUCAUACGUCCUCACCCCUGUUGACCACAAAUCCUUCAACUCUUUAUCAGUGGUUGUAGGAAAACAUCCAGGGACCUUUUUGGAUGGUUCGGACCAGGUAUCAAUAUCGUCAAGAAUAGCAACUCCCGUUGCAUGCACAUCUCCGGUGGCAGGUUGUAUGGCGUAAGAAAAGACUGGCCCAAUGAAUAUGUCUCCCUGACAUUCCGAACGGACUCUAAAUCCAUCUGUGCAUAAUCCGAGAUACACAUUCCGGCUAUUGCUAGCAAAAUCCGGAUGUACCUUGUUGAAAUGUUUCCAGGCUCUUGCAUCUGAUGGAUGAGUCAUCUCACCUUCCCAUCCGUUGAGUAUGCUCGCCAUGCAAUCUCAUCUUUGCAGCAGUCUGCUCUGAUUGAUACAAAUUCUUUCAAUCUGUCUGUAAUUGUAUGUACCACAUCCUUUGGUACGGUANNNNNNNNNNNNNNNNNNNNNNNNNNNNNNNNNNNNNNNNNNNNNNNNNNNNNNNNNNNNNNNNNNNNNNNNNNNNNNNNNNNNNNNNNNNNNNNNNNNNACGGUCUAAACGACUACCCGGCUCACCGAACAUCUCUCUGUAAUGGGCAGUAAGUCUACCUUUUCGAACCUGAGAAAAAAAUUAAUUUUUUAAAUUUUCGUGAAUAUACUUCCCAACAUUAUCCACCUAAUCAACACUAAAUAACAUAAGAUCCGUAAACCUAUCUAAAUUCCCUAUACUAACCACCUAAUCUAUCCUAAACUAAUCAAACUAGAGAGGAAUUAGAGAGACUUACCAUUGCUACGAAUUAGGGAGGAAGUGGAGAGGAAGUAGAGAGGAAAGACGGAGCGAGCUCGCUCGGGAUAUAUAUAAGAUUACUUGUCCUCGUAAAUUCCUCGUAAACUUACGAGGAAUUACAGAGGCCCGCGUUUUCAGUUACGACGAAAUAGCGACGAAAUACAAAGGCCCGCGUUUUCGUUAACGACGUUUUUACGACGAAAAGGGUUACGUGGAAUUAACGAGUUAACCAGUUACGAGGAAUUAGCGAGCCUUAUUUUCUAUAAAUACCCACAACUUUCCUUCUCAAACCACACACACAAACUCACAAAACACACCCUAUCUCAAAUCACACUCCUCACCAAAAUACUUUUCAAAUUAGAAAUAUUUGAAAAAAAAAAGAAGAAAAGAAGAUAUUAGAAUUUAUGUGGGUGAGACUUAAGUCUCGCCACAUAUAAUUCCAGUAUCUUUCUUUUUUUCUUUUUUCUAGUUUUUAUACUAUGAGGAAGUAGCAAGUCCCGCUUUUCACCAAUUUAGAAAAUUUGGAAAAAAAAAGAAGAGAAGAAGAUAUUUGGAACUCAUGUGGUCGAGACUUACGUAAGUCUCGCCAAAUGUGAUUCAAGCAUCUUUCUUCUCCUUUUUUUUUAGUAUUUUAAUAUUUUCGUCGUAAUAUCGUCGUUAGUUUACGACUCUUUUACGACGAUUUUGGCUUACGUGGAAUUAGCGUGCCCCGCUUUUUUAAUUUCGUCGUAAAGUCUCGUGGCCUUACGAGGUGUUUACGACGAAAUCAUCCUACGUGGAAUUAAAGAGUGCCUUCUUCGUCAUUUACUUUACGUGGUAUUUACGUCAAUUUACCUUACGAGGUUUACGACGAUUCUGUCCUACGUGGAAUAAACGAGUUCCUCCUUCGUCAUUUACUUUACGUGGCAUUUACGUCAAUUUACUUACGAGGUCUUUACGACGAUUCUGUCCUACGUGGAAUAAACGAGGAUUACGUCGUACAUUCGACGUCAGGUUACGAGGAAUUAACGAGCAGUACGUUUAAAUCCCUAAAAUCCGAAACCCCAAACCCCAAAACCCAUAUUCCUUAUCUUCUACUUCAUAUAUUCCAAACCCCAUCUUUAUUUUCAUUCCAAACCACAAUUCCCACAUUUACUUAUUUAUAAAACAAACUCCCACAAUUUCUUAUUCAUAAAACAAACUCCCACAUUACCUUAUUCAUAAAACAAACUCUCACAUUACCUUAUUCAUAAAACAAACUACACAAAAUCAAAUACAUCAAUCGGAUACAUCGACAUUCUCGUCAUCACUAGAAAUAUCAUCAUUUUCAUUAAACUCGUCUUCUACAGCUUCGUCUGUGGCAUCAUCGGUAAGAUCUUCGUAUUCGUGAUUAUGCGGAUCAAUGAGAAGGAUGUCAUCAACUUCUUGUUCAGGUUCCUCGACUUCAUUUAUCUGUUCUUCUUGCAAUGGUGGUUCUUCUCCACUGAUGAUUCGUCCUCGAGGUGUAACUUUGAUCACUGCUAACCAAUUUAUACCCGAAUCUCUCAUCCGAGGGUAUGGAAGGAAGCUAACUUGGUCUGCUUGUGAAGCUAAGAUGAAAGGCUCGAAUUUGUUGUACCGACGUCCACCGUUGACAUCAACUACACCAAAUUUGUUAGACCGAACACCUCUGUUGACGACGGGGUCGAACCAUUCACAUUUGAAGAUGACGCAUUUCAGCUUCAGUAUCCCUGGAAAUUCGACUUCAAUAAUCUCCGUCAAGAUCCCGUAGAAAUCUGUUUCCCCUUUCACACAUAUUCCAUAGUUACUGGUCGCCCGCUGUCUACCAUACUCAUAUGUGUGAAAAGUGUAGCCUCGUGUGAAAUACAUCUGUGAUGUGGUGACCUUUACAAGUGGAGAUUGAAUUACUUCGUGUAACCACUUAGGAUAAUCUGCAUCGUCGUCAUAAUCAACCUGCAAAAAUAAAGAGAACAUUAAAAUACAAAUCAUGUAUGAAAAAAUAGUUUGAGUUAUAAUACCUGAUUCCGCAACCACUUAAUGAAGUGCUGAUCUUUCCUUUUGUCUACGUCACUUGUGGAUAUACCAGGAAAUGUUUCUUCGACUUGAGAAACAAAUAGGCUGUAAAAUUAAUCACAUUUCAUAGGAAUGAAUCUCUUGCAAUUAUAUAAUUAAUUAUAUGUGUUUUGAAGUGUCCAUAUAUGUUACCUUUCAAAAUAACGCAUCAAUGGAUCCUCGCAAUUGAGUAGAAUAUAGGUGUGUGCACUAUGAGCGUCUUGUUCACUCGACCACCAAACCUCUUUAGACUUCCCACCGAGUCGUCCAAUCUGGCUAAAGAUGUCUGGAACACCAGCAACUGCAUAUGUUGGCGCAACUCCACCAUCAUCAUAUCUUCUUGGAGCUCUUCUACGGGUACGUACUUUUGACGCAAAGUAGUACGAUGUGAAGUGAGAAACUUCUUCCGUCAAACUUCCAGCAAUUAUAGAACCUUCAACUUUGGCGAGGUUCUUUGCUUUUCCCUUCAAAUAUUUCAUGGCUCGCUCAUACUGAUACAUCCAUCCGUAAUGUACAGGUCCACGAAGCAAUGCUUCAUAUGGGAGGUGGACAGCUAGAUGCUCCAUGACGUCAAAAAAUCCAGGAGGAAAUAUCUUCUCCAAGUUGCACAAUAAGAUGGGAAUGUUCUCCUGAAGCUGUUCUACAACUUCUUCUUUAAGAGUGCGUGUGCUCAGAUCCCUGAAAAAUGCUCCAAUGCCUUUUAUAUUCCAAAAACAAUUAAACACAUUGUUAGUCGUAUAUUAUUUUGCAAACUAGACCGUUAUAAAAUUAUUGUGAUAUAAAACACUACGAACCUGCAAGUGCUUCAUGUACGUUUGUUGGAAGUAGCUCCGCAAAUGCAAAGGGCAGUAGUCGUUGCAUAAAGACAUGACAAUCAUGACUCUUCAUCCCAGAGAACUUUUGACCCUUUUCAACACAUCUAGAGAGAUUUGAAACAUACCCAUCGGGGAACUUCACUUCUGAUGCCACCCAGUUGAACAACACCGACUUUUUUUCUGAAGACAGUCUGAAUAUCGGAACGGGAACUUGUCCAUUGCUUUUAAUAUGUAACUCGCUUCUUGAGCAAAUAUCCGGCAAGUCCAACCUCGAUUUUAUGUUGUCUUUUGUCUUCCCUGGGACAUUCAAUAUUGUAUUCAUGAUGUUCUCAAAGAAAUUCUUCUCUAUAUGCAUCACAUCGAGGUUGUGGCGCAGAAGAAGAUCCUUCCAAUAUGGCAACUCCCAAAAUAUACUCUUCUUGUGCCAGUUGUGAUGAACACCGUAAGAAUCAGGCAUAUUACGAGGGACAUGCCAAUUACCACCCCAACGAACUGUUUCGUUAGCUCCGUAGUAGUCGAUUUGUGCUUCAAUUUGUUCUCCAGUUAGAUAUGGUGGAGAAGUGUCUCUCACAACCCUUUUGUGCCUAAACAAAUUCUUGUUUCUUCGGUAAGGAUGGCCAAUGGGAAGAAAUCGACGAUGACAAUCAAACCAACUUGUCUUCCUACCAUUCUUCAGUUGAAACGCAUCUGUCGUUCCAUUACAAUAUGGACAAGCUAAUCUCCCAUGUGUAGUCCAUCCAGACAACAUCCCAUAUGCAGGAAAGUCACUUAUGGUCCACAAAAGCAUAGCUCGCAUCGUAAAAUUCGUCUUCGUUGAACAGUCAUACGUCCUCACCCCUGUUGACCACAAAUCCUUCAACUCUUUUAUCAGUGGUUGUAGGAAAACAUCCAGGGACCUUUUUGGAUGGUUCGGACCAGGUAUCAAUAUCGUCAAGAAUAGCAACUCCCGUUGCAUGCACAUCUCCGGUGGCAGGUUGUAUGGCGUAAGAAAGACUGGCCACAAUGAAUAUUGUCUCCCUGACAUUCCGAACGGACUAAAUCCAUCUGUGCAUAAUCCGAGAUACACAUUCCGGCUAUUGCUAGCAAAAUCCGGAUGUACUUUGUUGAAAUGUUUCCAGGCUCUUGCAUCUGAUGGAUGAGUCAUCUCACCAUCCGUCUGAGUAUGCUCGGCAUGCCAUCUCAUCUUUGCAGCAGUCUGCUCUGAUUGAUACAAUCUUUUCAAUCUGUCUGUAAUUGGUAGGUACCACAUCCUUUGGUACGGUACCCUAUUACGUCCCCGUCCUUGCGGCUUGAAUCGUGGCUUCUUGCAGAAUCGACAUACUUCUAGCUUCUCAUCAUCUCCCCAAUAGAUCAUGCAGUUGUCGAUGCAGACAUCUAUCAUCUCCGAAGGCAACCCAAGACUAUAAACUAAUUUCUGAAUCUCAUAAUAAGAAUCAGCAGACACAUUGUCUUCCGGCAAAUACUCUUUAAACAAGUCCGCCCAUUCGUUCAUGCAACUUUCAGGUAGAUUGUGAUCAGUUUUAAUAUUCAUCAUUCUAGCAGCCAACGACAAUUUAGAGAGACCUUCUCUACAACCACUGUAAAGUGGUUGAUUCGCCGCGUUUAACAUUCCGUAAAACUUUUUUGCAUCUAUAUUAGGUUCUUCAUCUUCAUCAUGAGCUACGAAUGCAUCAGCUACCAUAUCAUGAACCCUAUCAUAAUCUACCAUCUCCUCCUGAUGGUAACUAUGUUCAUUAUGCAAAUGAUGAUUAACCGGUUCUUCCUGAAAAUUGCUAUUACUACUACUAGCUUCAUUCUGAUCAUAAUUAUAACCUUCCCCAUGUUGAAACCAGAUAUAGUAAUUUGGCGUGAAACCUCUAUUUAUUAAAUGCUUCCAAACAUUUUCACGGUUUGCCAAUUUCGAAUUGUUGCAUUUCCGACAAGGACAGAACAUCUUACCACUUUCUUGGGCGAGCGGUGUUGAAUCUGCUUGGUGCAUAAAUGUCUCCAGCCCCGCAAGGUAUUCUUUCGUCACUCUCCCGUUAGCAUCUCUAUGCAUAUACAUCCAAUUCCGCAACUCGUAAAUAGUCCCAGAGCCAGCCAUUUUUUUUUCUUUCACGUUUUUUGUUGUUGGUGUGUUUAAAAUGAUGUUCCAACAUCCAUAUUUAUAGAAAAUUUCGAAUCUGGUAGUUGUAAUUUUACUAUGAAAUUACGACGAAAAUUAAUUGUAUGGCCAAAAAAAAAACGUGAGCCACCUACCAAGUUGGUGGAUUCAAAAUUUCCUCGUUAAGUACACGUAAAAUAUUUCGUCGUAAAGCACUCGCGAAAUUUACGUGGAUUUUACGAGGAAAAACUAUUUCCUCGUAAAAGCCACGUCAAUUUACAUCGUCUUUACGACGAAUAUUUUUUGUCGUUAACUUACGACGAAAUAACGAUGCUUUUCUUUCUCAACGUACUUUCCUCGCAAAAUCAACGUUUUUUUACGAGGAUUAUUUUUCCUCGUUAAACUUCCUCGGUAAAGAUACGUUUUCUUGUAGUGGAAGAACAUUCACCUUAUAAACUAUUAACCGUUUUGUACAUGUAUCAUGUAUAGGAAAAAUUAUAAUGUGCGAGUCACUCAGUUUUACAUUGUAUAAUUAUGUAUCAUACAUUUUCUUCAUGUUUGAAGAACCACCAUGAAAGAUGUAGUUCAGCUUCUGUGCGAGUUUCAAAAAUAAAUUGUAAGUGUAAUUUCCCGAGUUGUGAUAUAUGGAAAAAUCUUAAAAUAUAUUGUAACUUCCCGAGUUGUGAUAUAUGGAAAAGUCUUAGGAUAAUUGUUUUGGCUAUCUAUGUCAGCAAAGUUGACUUACUUUUUUCGUUAGACAUAUGUUUAAAACUCAAGAAUUAAGUGUACUUGGGCUGGAGUAGUGAAAUGAUGGAUGACCUAUCGGAAAGUUAUUUGUGAUACCUACGAGUGAGGCCAAAACACGGAGAAAAAUCAUGUGGUGUUUGCAGGGUCAGAAGACUUAACUUUCGAGCCUUGGAAAAAUUAAUGCACCGCCUGUCAGACAGGAUAAGGCCCACCGCCCGAGAGAACGGGCGUGGAUAGCCCAUUAGCCGUUGGUGGUCGAGUUGUUACAAGUAGUAUUAGAGCUGGUUAGCCAUCUCAAUUCUGACCUGAGAGGUGUCUUGAAACAUGUCGUUGUGUUGCAACGAGGACGUUGCGUUCUUUGAGAGUGGGUGAAUUGUAAUAUCCGAGUUGUGAUAUGUGGAAUAUAUUUAUAAAGGUUUGCAAUAUAUUCCAAAUGUUUUUCAUAAACACAAACGCUAAAUAUAUUAUACAUCAAAAAAUAAAAUUUCACCACUUUUCAUAAAUUUAAGAUUAAAAACUAAAAAAUGCAGUUAUAGCAAAAUUAAUAUUACAAUUUUGAUAAUUUUUUCUCAUCUAAAUUUCAAUUAUUUUAAUUAAAAUAAUUUAUUUUGCACUUUGAAAAUAAAUAACUAAAUUUUAUAGCUUCAAAAAUAUAUAAAUAAUAUAUAAAAUUUUAAUUUUCAUUAAAAGUUUUCUCAAACAAAAAAUAAUUAUUUAGUUAAAACUUAAAAGCACCUAACUUGUACUGUACAUAACAGACAACUCAGACGUUAUUUUUGAGUCACAGAUAAUUGGUAAAUUAUGGAUUUUUUUCUUUGUCAUCAUUCUGGAUUUUGUUAGUUCGUGUAUUAAAUUUGAACUAACGGAGUGUUCAUGUAUGUAUUUGUACAACUUAUCUGUGCAUGUACGCAUCGUGUAUCUAUUAAUUUAUUAAUUAUUCAAAACGUAAAAAACCACCUAACAUGUGCUGUAUAUGACAUACAACUCAGAUUCCGUUACAUUUAAUUCACUCUUAACUCACGGACAAUUGGUUAAUUUAUGUGAAACAUGGAUUUUUUUCAACAAUCUGGAUUUGUUAGUUAGUAUAUUAAAUUUGAAUUAACUGAGUAUUCAUGUAUGUAUUUGCACAACUCGUAUGUGCAUGUACAUAUGUGCAUGUACUGAUCGGGACCGUUGAACUCUGUUAAUGUAGAAAUUAGCCGAUUUCUCUAACUACAGUAUCAAAUCUUAUGCUUUAAAAACAUACAUUUAUUAUGGGAUCCAUACUACUAACCAUGGAUAAUUUCAUACCAUAAUUUAUAUGCUAAUAACCAUCUUUCAACAUGUGUUAGUCUAUAUAAUAGAGAUUAAGCUUCAAACCCAACACAAACUCCUCUCAAACAAAAUUAAAGUAGAGAGAGAUAGAGUGAGUGAUCAAUUAUCAUUGCUUCUUCAUGAUCUCAAAGUGAUGAUCAAAGAAUCAUCACUCAUUUUCCCAUCUGUAGAAACCUUUACCCAUGAGAGAAAAUCUAUGUUUCUUGUUCAAUGUCGACCAAGUUUACAACUUCGAUGUCCAAACGGUUCAUUUCUUCCGAGAAAACAAAGAUUAUUCUCCGGAGAUUGUGGCGGAGAUGCUGAGAAAUGCGUUGGUGAGAGCAAUGGACGUUUAUGAGUUUUUGGCCGGGAGAAUUCGCGUGAACCGUAGCUCUGGAAGCCUGGAUGUUGACUGUAAUGGUGCCGGAGCUGGGUUUGUAAUGGCGGAGAGUGAGUAUACUUUGGAGGAACUUGGAGAUUUGGUUUAUCCAAAUCCAUCCUGUGCUAAAUUGGUUACAAGUCAGCUUCAAUCUUUGCCUAAAGAUGAUCAACCAUUGUUUGCUUUUCAGGUAACCAACGAUUACUUCCUAAAACUAUUCCAAAUUAUAAUGUAUUUUUUUUUGUGGAGUAAUAAAUCACCCAAGAAAAAUAUUUUACAAGUUGAGUAUACAUUAUUAUAUAAUAAAAACACGAAUAAACUUCCUCAGAAUCUUUAAGAAGUCUAGACCCAAGCAAAAAAGGGAGGUAGACAGAAGUUAAAUUAGUAGCUACGAAAAAAUAUAUGUACCAUUAAUACUUGUGUACAAAGUAUCAGUUUGGAGGCUUAGUUUAUUUAAACUAUUAAAAUCUGUUCUGAAAUACAGAAUUAUCAAAUUUUUGGAUUCUUAGUUUAUCUUAACUAUUAAAAUAUGUUCUGAAAUACAGAAUAUAUAUUUUGAAAAAGCCAUAAACCGUUGUUUGAUUAGCCCGCGUCUGAUUUUUGAGUUGGUUAGGUAAAGGCUGAGUAAGCCAAAGAUGCUUAGUUGGCCAGUCGUGCAGAGAAACCACUGAUCUAAUCUACUUAGGGCUGUGUUUAUUAUUUCUGCCUUAUUACUCUUCUUCACUUGGCUUGUUGUUCUUUCUGUGUACACGGGCAUAGAUAUGGAUAUGGUGUCUUGAUUCUUUUUAUACAACUUUGAUUCCGCCUGAUAUUCAUCCAACUGGUCUAUGUAUCUAUAGCUUGCUGAGGAGAAUGUUCAAAACUAUAUAAAAAAACGUGUCGGAGCUUGAGUAAUCUUCCAUUCCCUGAAAUAUUUAAACUCUAAUUAAGAAUUAACACAACUGGCAAUUUUGUAGAAAUGAAAGAUAGUUAGUUACAAAGGAGCAUUAAAGAAGUGAGACGUCCCAAAUAGUUCGUCUUCACCAAGCUAACCGAUAGCAUUCUUCCGCAGUGACGAAUGGUACUAAACGGAACGUAGUAACGCAUGCAUUGACGUGAAAGUGUUAUCUUUAUUCUUACAUUCUCAGAUUUUAUAUAUAUGCGAGAAGCUUCACCCUGCAACAUUUAUUUUAUCUUUUGUUUAAGAGUUUGAAGUCUUGGAAAUCAAUUUUUUUAGUUCAACUCUUUUAUAAGAGUAAUGGUGUUUGCUAUAUUUUAUUGUUGCAUUGGCACUGAUCGUACUGAUCGUCCUGGGAACCAUCGGCUGCUGCGCACACUACCACAAGAGGCAAAGGGACUUCCUUUAAGGGAGUUUAUUUUAGUAUUUUAUUCGUAAUUUGUUUUGCGUAACUUUAUCGAAUCUGCUAAAAUGAGCUUUUAGUCAAUUUACGGAAUUUCUUUUCUUUGGUCUCAAUUCCGUUGUGCAAUGAUUUUGCAGUCUGCCAGACUGUUGGAAGCCCUUAACACAAACUGGGAAAAGGAUGAUGACAACCAGGAGGUGGAAAAAUAUGUAAAAACGAGAGAUCUACGGCAUGUGCCAUAUGGUAAGUCAAAUUAAUCUCCCGAACAAAAGUAUAUAUAAAUGAAAAUUAUCAUCUGUUUUGGUUCAGUAGUGUCUUAUUCAACUUAAGUUUGAGCUCUUAAAUUUGUUCUACAAAUUUUAAUAUUUUAGUUAUAUUUUUAUCAGGUAUAUUUUUUUCUUUUCUUAAUAUUUUUUUUUAAAUAAAACUUAUAUUUACUUUAGGGAGUUUAUUUUAGUAUUUUAUUCGUAAUUCGUUUUGUGUAACUUUAUCAAAUCUGCUAAAAAAAGCUUUCAGUCAAUUUACGGAAUUUCUUUUCUUCAGUCUCAAUUCCGUAGUGCAAUGAUUUUGCAGUCUGCCGGCAUGUUGGAAGCCCUUAACUCAAACUGGGAAAAGGAUGAUGACAACCCGGGAAAAAUAUGAAAAAAUGAGGGAUCUACGACAUGUGCCAUAUGGUAAGUCAAAUUAAUCUCAUGAAUAAAAGUAUAUAUAAAUGAAAAUUAUCAUCUCUUUUGGUUUAGGUUCAGUAGUGUCUCAUUCAACUUACAUUUGAGCUCUUAAUUUUGUUCUACAAAUUUUUAAAAUUUUAGUUCUAUAUUUUUAUCAGAUAAAUUUUUAUUUUUUUUCCUUUUUUGCUAUCUAAUAGAAUUUUCUUUUCUUUUCUUAAUUUUUUUAAAUAAAACUUAUACUUUACUUAAGAUUUUUUUGGUAACACACUUUACUUAAGUUUACUUUAACAAUUAUUUUUAUUAGUUUAUGUUUCUUUAUUAUAAAAACUAAAAAUAACAAUUUUUAUGUACACUAUAAAUUUAUAAUAUUAAAUAUUUGAUAUUAUGAAAACUGUCUUUCGUUUUUACCCAACUAUUUACAAUAAAAAUGUAAAAUUUUAUUACAUAAGCAUAAUAUAGUUUAAACUCUUAUAUCAGAUUUUUUUUGGGUGAAUUACCCAUUCGUGGGCUUAUACUAGAAGGAAAAGUUUUGUGGAAACCACAGUAUUUACAUAAUUAAUAAUUACGAAAUCAAAAUCUCAAACGAUGAAAAUGUUGUUCAAAACAGGUUCAAAUGACCCUAUUUACUUUACAAAAUAGUAUUUUUGCGUGAAAUUGCUACCAAGAGUUGGCUAUGAAUGUCCGAAGCAUAAACCUUCUUUGAAGAAGUAUCCUCUGGUCUAUAAAACCUUCUCACUUUAAUCUCGGACAAAUUAUUUAUUGGAUCAUUUUGGGACAACUACUUCUAGUACCUUACAUACAGCAAAAGCUUUUAAGCCAUUGUUCCUCACACACUUGGAUUUUGAGUUCAUCUAUCAUGAUAAAUUGAGGUUUGACAUAUACAUAAUCUUCCUUAGAAUAAUCAACCGCGAUGAAGACAAACCCAGUCUUUGAAACAUUAAGUUUGAUUUUUGACCUUCCCUCUACCUCCUCCCUGAUCAUACAUGAACUGCAGAAUCUUGAACCAUGACUCAUGUUUUUGAGUUGAAGACUCAAUAAACUAGGGCUAGACAUAAGGUAAUAACAUGGGUCGUGGUUCAGGAUCUUGCAAUUCAUGUAUGAUUGGAGAGGAAGAAGAGCGAAAGUCAAAAGUCAAACUCAAUGUUUCAAAAAGUGGAUUUCUCUUCAAUGAGGUUUUGAUUAUUCUAUGGAGGAUUGUGCAUAUGACAAAUCUCAAUUUAUAACUAUAGAUAUAAUUGAAAAGGAUAAGACAAAUUCAAGUUUGUGAGGAACAUUGGCUUAGAAGUUUUGGUUGUUUGUAAAUUACUAGAAGUAGUUGUUCCAAAGGUAUCAAAAAGAUUUGUUUAAGAUUAAAUUGAGAAAGUUACGUAGGCCUGAUUAUAUUCCUUCAGAAAGCUUAUGUUUUAGACAAUUAGUAGCCAAUUUUUGGUAACAAUUUUGGACCUAUUUUAAACAACAUUUUCAUCGAUUGUAUUUUUUCUAAUAAUUUUAAUUUAUGUAGAUAUUGAGGUUUCCGACCAAGUUUCGCUUCUGGUAUAAGCUCACAAAUGGGUGAUCUCACCAGAAAAUAUGAGUAAAGAAUUUUAAAAUUAUAUUAUUCUUAUAAGGUUUUAGUUUUUUUUAUUUUAAAUAAUUGAGUCAAAAAUUUGAGAAAUAUUUUUUUUUGGCAUCAAAUUAUAUAGUUUCAUACUGUCUCUGUGAACCAAAACGGGAGAUCUUGAUCCAUCUGAACUACGAAAGACGGUUGCUUCCUGAUAUUGUGUGCUAGGCUAUCAGCCUUUGAAUUUUGCAUCCUUGGUACAUAGAUGAUCUUUGAUUGGAGGAAACUUUCUUUCAGGAUCUUAAUAUCUUCCAAAUAACGUGUAAAAGCUGGUCAUUCUUCUGGUUCCAAAACCAUCUUCACCAAUUGACGUAAGUUUCUCAUACAUUCCAUUGCCCAGAGUAGCGCUUCCAUCUCCGCAUGAAGAAGAGAGAGACUAGCAGGUACAUUCUUCUCCCCCAUCAGCCCAUCAAAUCUUUCUAGAGUGCUGAGCCAACCUUGUCCGGAGAAAAUAUCAUUCUCUUUCCAGGAACCAUAUGUGAAACACCAUCUUCCUAGAAUUGACGGUAGAGUCGUACCCUCAACGUGUGGUACUAUCUUCUGUUUAUCCAAUAUUUGUGCAUCAGCCCAGAGUGUUGAUUUUGUUUCUGCCAAUUUAAGCAUUUUCCUAGGAUUAAUAUCCAGAUUAAAAAAAACUUUAUUAUUUUUUUCAUUUUCAAAUGUACCGUAAUAUCCAUGCAAACUGAUGAUCAAUCUGCGAGAAAACUCUCGAGAAGAGAUGAUCCAUGUUUGUGAAGAGAAAGCUUCUUGGAAAAAUAUCUGGAUUUGAUGGUAUCUUUGAGAGAGCCCAAACAUGUAGUACUGGAGGACAUUCAAAAAACACAUGGUUUAUCGAUUCCUCAUCGGUUCCACAUCUUGCACAACAUAUAUCCCCUUGUAUCCCUCGCACUCGCAGAUAAACAUUUAUUCAUUUUAGUUGUUAUUUAAUAAAUAAACAUAAAAUUUGAUAAAAAUAAUUGCUAAAGUAAAACUUAAGUAAAGUGUUUUACCAAAAAAAACAAUUAAAGUAUAAGUUUUAAAUUUAGAAAAACUAAUAUUAAGAAAAGAAAAAAUAAAAUAUUCCUAAUAGAUAACAAAAAAAAAGGAAAAAUAAGAACUUAAUUUAUGAAAAUAUAACUAAAAUAAAAGAAAAUGUGUAGACAAAACGAGCUGAUAAUUUUCAUUUAUAUUUAAUUUUGUUCGGGAGAUUAGUUUUACUUAGUAUAUGACACAUGGUGGGAAUCCUUAAUUUUUCAUAUAUUGAUUUGAUAAAAAGUUAUAGAAAAUUAAUUACUUGAUUGAACGAGUAUUUGGUUUAAGCAAGCCAAGUAGGGAGUAUAAGUAACAAAUUAAACUAUUUGAACUAGUUAAGCCAAAUAGAAAAUACUUCCAAAUUAGGAUCAAUUUCUUAUUCCGCCCCAAGAGGUAAAAACAAUCUAAUAUGGACCACCCUUCCUAAUAUAAAUUUCUUUUAUAGUUAACUUUAAUUUAGAUAGCAAGCAAAUCUUACUAUAUAUUAAUUGAGAAAACACUUUAGUGACUUUUGCUUACGUGUCGAUCAUAGGUAAACUCUUACAAAAUUGUUAUAAUUUGAUUGGUCGAUGAUUUUUAAUUUUUAUUUAUUUUAUUUAGAUCUAAAAAAGGUAAGUCUAUAACCAAUUAAUAUCACUUGCCAAAUAAUUUACAUAAUAUUACAAAUAAUGAUUUAUGGUAACUAAUUGUUUAUAAAAUACAUAAAAUAAUAAACAACAAACUGUUUAUAUAAAUUAAUAUAAUGUUCAUAUUAAUUUAUAUAAACAGUAUGUAAUAUCACUUGCCAUUUUAUAUUCUUAUUUAAAAGCAUUAUGUUUUGUGUAAAUUAUCAUAAUAACUAUUAACAUCUUCUAAAGUUCAUAUUACAUGCUUUAUAAAUCAUCAAUAAGAACAUUUAUCAAAUUAUUUAUCUAGGCUUAUUGUAUAUUUUAAAUUAUUAUAAGAGUUUGUAUGUCAUCUAUGAGAGCUUAUAAAUUACUUUAUAAAAUUUAUAUUAAAAUCUCAUUCUACUAUCCUAGUAUAUAUUAAUUGAGAAGUGAGUUAAGAGAGUUUUUGUUAUGUGUCGAUCAUAUAUGAAAUCCUAAAAAAAUGUUAUAAAUUGAUUGGUCGAUAUUAUUUAAUAUAGAUAAAUUUUUUAUAUUUUUAAAAUACAUAAAAUAAUAAGCAACAAUCAGUUUAUAUAAAUCAAUAAAAUGAUUUUAUAUUCUUAUUUAAAAGCAUUAUAUUUUAUAAGUUGUGUUGUUUCAUAAACUUAACUAUUGAAACUUUUCAUAAUAAAAAGUUAUAUAUUUUCAAUAGCUUGACCAUUUAACCACUUCUUAAUAGAAACCAUUUAAGAAUUUAUAUAUGGACUAUUCCUCCCAUCACUCACCAUAGUUUGUUUUUUAUAAUUUACUGCAUGUUGGCUAUGUCUUUACUAAUUAAUUAAUAAUUAACUGUCUGUUGGUGGUAUGUUAUAUAAAAGUUCAAUUAGAUAAUGAAAAUUAUGUCUUCAUUCUAUGAAGAUUUAUAUAUAUUUUGAAGUCUAACAUAUGUUUUCAUAUAGUAAGAUUUUGUAUAUAUUUGGAAGUCUAACAAUUGAAUCCCUUUAAUUUUAGAAAAAAAAUAAGAUUUUAUUUAAUCAUUUAUUCUUUGAUAGGCCUAUAGGCUUUUAUUUCGGUCUAUUCACAACCCCAUUUAUUUAUACAGCACUAAAUUCACAGCAAUCAAACUUUUAUAAAAAAUUCAAAAUCACAGCUCUUAACAUAACCUACAGCUGUACAAGUGUUCUACAUAGCCAAAAAUCCAGCGUAAUGUUUUGGAGCUUUCUUUAAAAUUCUAAAGCAACAAAAUCUAAAGCCACAGCAAAAAUUCUACAUAUUUCUUUCUACAUCAAAUUUUUUAAAUCUACAGCCAUUACCAAUCGAACCCUAUAUCAAAUACUAGGGUAGACCCGCCUUACAGGCGGGAUUUGAUGGGUUGAUUUUUAUAAAAAAUGUUACUUUGUGUAAAUUUCUUCUUAUGUUAAAUUUGGUGUGAGUAUGAUUAUUGUGAACACCAAAUUUGAAUUAUAUAACUAACUAAUGAUGACUGAGUUCUUAGUAUUGUUGGAUUUUUAAUUCUGAAUUGAAAAAAUUUAUAGUGUGGUAAGUUAGUAUAAAUGUUUUGGUGAAUGUUAGUAACAGAUAUUAUUAUCAAUUUUUGUUACUUGUUUGGCUUUUUGUGCUAUUUUUAGUUAUAUUUACUUAUAUAUAAUGCAAUUGAUCGUGGUUAUAAGUUUAAUAAUAAAUAAAGAGAAACGAAAAAAAACGUAACAAAUGUAUUAUUUUGGACAAUCUAAGCACAGUACGCAAAAAUGAGAAUCAUUUUUGACUAAAAUAUUGUGUCUCAAAAUGUAGAGCAUUUUGUGUUCAUGCGGAUCCAAUCAACUAUGCAUUGGUAUCCAGUAAACAUGGUUUAGAUUUGGUAAUAAUGAUUAUAGUGAAUUGAUAUUAUAUUUAAAAAAUCACGGUUUAUGGAUAUAGUAUGGUUUAUUAACUGAACAAACCAAGCGAACCAAAGAUGCUGGUUUUAUUAUAUAUUAUAGUAGUAUAUUUAAGGGGUUUAAUAAUAUACAUAAUACAAUUUUAUUGAUAUUUGUUUUUUUUUUGCCUACAGUCUAAUUUUAGGAAAAUAAACAAAACAUACUUUGACAUUUCUGUCGACAAAUAUCUGAUUUAAUAUUUACUUAUUUAAUAAUAUUAUGGUUUAAUAAUUUACUUUUAAAGUUUUUUAUUACUAUUAUCUUAAUUGGUCUACUAAUUUUUUUUCUAUGUUUUUCUACUUUUUGUUUUAUAUUUCAUUAGGGGACUUAAAAAUUUUAUGCUCAUUGCAUAUAUCUAACUAUAUAUAUAACUUUCCUUAUAGGGAUUUGUUAGUUAUAGUUAAAUUACUCUUUCUAAUCAACCAUUGAAAGUUUUACAGUACAAUAAUUGAGAAGUUUGACUAAUUAAACUAUAUUUUUUUAUAUUAAAGAGUAAUUUGAUUUAUACAUAAAUAUGUACGAUAAAGUUAAUAUUCUCUUACUGAAUGUUAGUUAUAAUUUUUUUCUACCUUUCUUGCUAUAAUAUUCAUGAAAGAAUAUUUCAAGUACACAUAAUAGUUUAUUUAAUUAAACAUGGGGUUUUUUUUAAUUUAUGCUGGCUCUUUCUUUCUGGUGUCUUUGUAGUAUGCAUAUAAUUCUAUUAUAUAUUUGUGGAUAUCUUGAUCUUUAAAACAUAGUAUAUAUAUAUAUAUAUAUAAUAUGUGUCACAGGCUCUUUAUAUGAAACCUUAAAUUUAAAACAAUGUUUAAGCGUUAAGAAAAAGGUUUUCAUAAAAGUAGCAAAUGUAAGACAAUAAGAGAAGAAGGAGUCCAGUCUUUCAAAAUAUGACACUUCAAACACUGGUGAACGAUACCGUCGUCGAAGCCUAUAAUUGUUGAAGAACACAUUGGCUCCUUUUCCGGCGAAGAGAGUGAUAAAGUCAGUACUUGAGAACAUACAGGAUCAGAGAUAGCGUACCAAGUAAACCAGUUCAAUGCUAAGCUAAAAAUAUAUGUAUACUAUAAAUAUAAUGUAUACGGGUCAUGUGUUUAGCUUCUUAACUAUUAUGGAGCCGCAGGUACUGUGUGAGCAUUAUAUUUAUAUUUAGUAUUUGUUGAAUAAAAUGCAAAUGAAGGGAAAUAUCGAAUAUGAAUGGACCCAUCGCAUGUUUAGUAUAUGUUGUCGUUGUCAAAUUGGACUCAAAAUAUGCGGAUGAUUGCCUACGUUAAACAUGAUCAUAUUUACAAUCAUGACAGAAUAUAGAGAAUACUAACUUGAAUUAAAAAAAACCAUAUAAUACCAAAUAUUUCCUAAAUGAGAUAUAUUUUAUAUUUGGUAUCAAGAAAACCAAAACUAUAGAAGUAGGAAAGUGUAAAAGUCAAACUUGUUAAUAAAGCAAACACCAGAAAAGGAAAAAAAAAACAACAUAAACGACUUCAGCAUUAAAAAACACACAGGAAAAACUGCGUCUUGUACUCCAAUCCUCUUCACCUAUGCCUUGCGUGCUUUCUUCACCUUCUCCGAUGCUACUUGCGCCUGGCUAGGUCCACCAGUUUCAACCUUAGAAGGCACUGUGAUGGCAUCGGGGUUGUCAUCUCCAUUGUAAACGUCGCCUCCCUAUUUGAUAAAAAAAGUCAUAUAUAUCUUUAUACCGAACAGCCACGUAUCUGGAAAAACCUUACAUUCUUUAAACCUUACAUUCCAUAAACCUUAGAUUAUCAACAAAUGCAGGCUGCAGCACACGGUCACGCUCACUGAGGAUGCGCGAGACAGUAAAGGUCUGAUGAUUUGCUGUGAAUUUAAGUGAACUCACCCUCACCUGGAAUGUGUAGGUCUUACCAAACAUGUCUCACACAAAUGGUGGGGCCUGUGUUUCCUCUGGGUUGACACCAUCACCAGCCUGAGCAAAGAGUGGUUCAAUGGAAACUGUAUGAAUAAGUAGCCAGUAAAAAAAUAUGAAUUACAGUUGAUAAAGUACAUACCAAAAGAUGGUCAGCUUCAAAGGCCCUCAUGUUGUGAUGUUUGGUCAUUACCUGAUCGAAACAGACAAACAAAGCUUUACCAGUUUCAUCUGCAACGGACAUCUCCA